CAAGGCUAGUAAAUCAAACUCCCAAAAACUUUCUCCACUGAACUUAACCUGUAACCUUUACCAUUUAGAGGAAUUUCCAUCCUGUGAGGUUCCCAAGAUUUGCUAAAUCUACCAGCCUGAUUCUCUCUCUGCACCAUGUGGCUGCUGCAGGAAACUGGGGAGGGAUGGUGUCGACAAUUCAAGACUAUUUUUUCCUACCCUCUUCAGUGCCUCCUUCCCUGAUAUGAUGUUAAAACCAGGUGUUGUUUCACAGAGAGUUUUUAAAUUGUAGACAUUUUGGAUGGUGAUUUGAUUAUUUAUUUUGUUUUAGUUUCUAUUUCCUUGCAUUGUGAUCAGAGAAUAUUAUUAAUCUUGUUUUAUUUUAUCGAGACCUGAAGUUGUGGAGCAGAAGAUAAAAGCCAUGUUCCCUAUGCCAUGUUUAAAUUACCUC
Molecule: long non-coding RNA, 430 nt
Organism: Piliocolobus tephrosceles (Ugandan red Colobus)
Lineage: Eukaryota; Metazoa; Chordata; Mammalia; Primates; Cercopithecidae
Exons: 3
Source: RefSeq, a predicted model, not a curated record